Long non-coding RNA from Globicephala melas (long-finned pilot whale), 971 nucleotides. RefSeq lists it as uncharacterized. NCBI's taxonomy places the organism in Eukaryota, Metazoa, Chordata, Mammalia, Artiodactyla, Delphinidae. The record is from RefSeq and is a predicted model, not a curated record.
CUGUUAAAACAUUCUUUCUUGGUGUGUCUGUGAGGAUAUGUCUCCAGAAGAGAUUAGCAUUUGCAUCUGAAUUGGUAGACUGAGCAAAGGUCACCCUCCCCAAGGUGGGUGAGCGUCACCCAAGCCAUUGAGGACCCAAAUAGAGCAAAGAGACAGAGGAAGGGCAAAUUCAGCUGCUCUCUUCUUGAUCUGGGACUUCUGUCUUCUCCUGCCCUCACUUAUCAGUUAUCAGAGGUCCAGUUUCCUGAGCCUUUGGACCUGGACUGAAUGACGUCCCUGGUUUCCUGGGUCUCCAGCUCACAGGUGGCAGACUGUGGGACUUAGCCUCCGUAACUAUAUGAGGCAGUCCCCAUAAUAAAUCUUCUCUUAUCUCUCUCUCUCUCUCUCUUUAUAUCCUAUUGGCUCUGUUUCUCUGGAGAACCCUGACUAAUAUACCCUGUUUUGCAGGUAAUGGAAUUGAGACAAGGUGUGUUACGCAGUGCCUCAAUAUGUUCCUAUGUAAAAUGGAGACGUUAUUGAGACUUUAUUGCCUUGUGAGAAUUACAGGCAAUAACACAAAGAUACUGAGAACAAUUACCAGCACAUAGCAUGAUAUCAACACAUCUCAGCCAAUGACUUUCUAGCGUACUAUGACAUGGCUGGGGUCUAUCAGUGAGCAGAGGCCUGGCACACGUGUGGAGCUUCUCUGUACGUCCAUCCAUUCCACAGAGUGAACAAGAUGGCAGUUCUGGGAUUCCAGAAAACAUGUACGCGGGCCUCUCAUUGUUGUGGCCUCUCCCAUUGCAGAGCACAGGCUCCGGAUGCGCAGGCUCAGCGGCCAUGGCUCACGGGCCCAGCUGCUCCGCGGCAUGUGGGAUCUUCCCGGACCGGGAAACGAACCCGCGUCCCCUGCAUCGGCAGGCGGACUCUCAACCACUGCGCCACCAGGGAAGCCCUUUUUUUUUUUUUUUAAAUCCUAUUGUGCGACUCUA